UUCGGUCUGGCGGCGAGUGGCGAACGGGUGAGUAAUACAUCGGAACGUGCCCUGUUGUGGGGGAUAACUAGUCGAAAGAUUAGCUAAUACCGCAUACGACCUGAGGGUGAAAGCGGGGGACCGUAAGGCCUCGCGCAAUAGGAGCGGCCGAUGUCUGAUUAGCUAGUUGGUGGGGUAAAGGCCCACCAAGGCGACGAUCAGUAGCUGGUCUGAGAGGACGAUCAGCCACACUGGGACUGAGACACGGCCCAGACUCCUACGGGAGGCAGCAGUGGGGAAUUUUGGACAAUGGGGGCAACCCUGAUCCAGCAAUGCCGCGUGUGUGAAGAAGGCCUUCGGGUUGUAAAGCACUUUUGUCCGGAAAGAAAUCGCUCUGGCUAAUACCUGGGGUGGAUGACGGUACCGGAAGAAUAAGCACCGGCUAACUACGUGCCAGCAGCCGCGGUAAUACGUAGGGUGCGAGCGUUAAUCGGAAUUACUGGGCGUAAAGCGUGCGCAGGCGGUUUUGUAAGACAGGCGUGAAAUCCCCGGGCUCAACCUGGGAAUUGCGCUUGUGACUGCAAGGUUAGAGUGCGUCAGAGGGGGGUAGAAUUCCACGUGUAGCAGUGAAAUGCGUAGAGAUGUGGAGGAA
This 631-nucleotide ribosomal RNA is filed under the name uncultured beta proteobacterium. Its description in RNAcentral is "bacterial SSU rRNA". It matches the Rfam family "Bacterial small subunit ribosomal RNA", at positions 79 to 706 of the family's 1533-position model. The record is from RNAcentral. Lineage: Bacteria; Pseudomonadati; Pseudomonadota; Betaproteobacteria.